This 253-nucleotide ribosomal RNA is filed under the name uncultured bacterium. RNAcentral's name for it is "partial 16S ribosomal RNA". It matches the Rfam family "Bacterial small subunit ribosomal RNA", at positions 524 to 776 of the family's 1533-position model. The record is from RNAcentral.
UACGUAGGGUGCAAGCGUUAAUCGGAAUUACUGGGCGUAAAGCGUGCGCAGGCGGUGAUGUAAGACAGGUGUGAAAUCCCCAGGCUUAACCUGGGAACUGCAUUCGAGACUGCAUUGCUAGAGUAUGGGAGAGGGAAGUGGAAUUUCCGGUGUAGCGGUGAAAUGCGUAGAUAUCGGAAGGAACAUCAGUGGCGAAAGCGACUUCCUGGACCAAUACUGACGCUCAUGUGCGAAAGCGUGGGGAGCAAACAGG